This 603-nucleotide ribosomal RNA is filed under the name uncultured fungus. Its description in RNAcentral is "eukaryotic LSU rRNA". It matches the Rfam family "Eukaryotic large subunit ribosomal RNA", at positions 23 to 641 of the family's 3401-position model. The record is from RNAcentral. Lineage: Eukaryota; Fungi.
ACCCGCUGAACUUAAGCAUAUCAAUAAGCGGAGGAAAAGAAACCAACAGGGAUUGCCCUAGUAACGGCGAGUGAAGCGGCAACAGCUCAAAUUUGAAAUCUGGCGUCUUUGGCGUCCGAGUUGUAAUUUGCAGAGGGCGCUUUGGCAUUGGCAGCGGUCCAAGUUCCUUGGAACAGGACGUCACAGAGGGUGAGAAUCCCGUACGUGGUCGCUAGCCUUUACCGUGUAAAGCCCCUUCGACGAGUCGAGUUGUUUGGGAAUGCAGCUCUAAAUGGGAGGUAAAUUUCUUCUAAAGCUAAAUACUGGCCAGAGACCGAUAGCGCACAAGUAGAGUGAUCGAAAGAUGAAAAGCACUUUGGAAAGAGAGUUAAAAAGCACGUGAAAUUGUUGAAAGGGAAGCGCUUGCAGCCAGACUUGCCUGUAGUUGCUCAUCCGGGUUUUUACCCGGUGCACUCUUCUAUAGGCAGGCCAGCAUCAGUUUGGGCGGUAGGAUAAAGGUCUCUGUCACGUACCUCUCUUCGGGGAGGCCUUAUAGGGGAGACGACAUACUACCAGCCUGGACUGAGGUCCGCGCAUCUGCUAGGAUGCAGGCGUAAUGGCUGU